RNAcentral lists this long non-coding RNA (13201 nucleotides) under Medicago truncatula (barrel medic). RNAcentral describes it as "long non-coding RNA (MTRU_LNC003895)". Lineage: Eukaryota; Viridiplantae; Streptophyta; Magnoliopsida; Fabales; Fabaceae. The record is from RNAcentral.
CCUCCUCGCUCUCCACUAAGAAUUUCAUGUCCCCGCCACCAACCAAAGGUUCAGCCACUAAUUGGACACUUGAGUCCGGUCCAACCACAACUGUCUUACCAAUUUUGUCAACUGCGUAAGGUUGCCCUUUGAAAAGGCAGAUGUCUCCGAAUUUCGUUGACAUGUCAGGUAUCACCUUCCAUUUCUCAUCACCACAUUUCACAAGUAAUGGCUGUGGGGGAGAGGUUAACGUGCCAACAAUGAGAGGUUUUUUCCCAUGGCACGUAACAACAACGACCUUUUUAGGGUACAUGUAAUAGUCGGGGUUGUAGAGUUUAUCGUUGAAUGUGAAGUCAAAGUCUAUCAUGAAGAAGUUGCUUCCCAAAUGGAGGAUGGAUAAUUUGUUGAAGUCGAGCACGAAAUUGUACAGAAAUUUAUCGCCAUUUUGUAAGAGUGGGUGGUAUAAUUUGGAUUUGCCGCGUGCAUUUUGACAAAUUCUUAUCAACGAAGGGCGUAGGUUUAGGGUUUGUUCUUGCUGUGGUGGUUUGAUGAGGAAGAUAUUUUGUUUGGUUAUGUAACAAAAUGACUUGUUCCUGUUGAUAAAAUCAGGGUUGAAUGGAAAUUUAAGGAGUGGGAACUGGAAGCGAAAAUUGCGAUGAUGCUUUGGGACGGAGGAAGAGCGCCAGGUUGAACAAACUGAUCGGAAGUGAAUGAGAUCAACUUCUUCGUAGAUUCGUUGUGAUAUCAUAUAAGCAGAACAUAUAAGCAGAAACAAAAGUUAUAAGCAGAAGCUACAAACAAUUAAAAUAAGCAAAACCUAUAAGCAGAAUCAGAAGUUAUAAACAAUUAAAAGCUAUAAGCAAAAACUAAAAACAGAAGUUGAAAACAGUUAGAAACUAUAAACAAUUAGAAGUAAAAGCUAUAAGUAGAAACAGAAAAGCUAUAAGAAGCGAAAAUUUAAGGAAAAGACACGAGCUACCUCACACGAUGAAGGGGUUAAAGAAACUCGCCGGAGUAUAGAUCGCACAAAGAGAAUGGCUGCCGGAGGAGGGUUCGCCGGCGCCGGAGAUAGAAGAAAUCGAUUUGGGGGUUAGGGCCGUGUUGAAGAAUAAAAAAGGACAAAAUUUAAGUACAAUUCUUUAACUGCUUUUAACUAAAAAUACAAUUUUUUUUAGAUAUAACAUUUGAGAGAAUUAUGGAUUUAAAGAAAUAUUAAGAACUAUAUCAAAAACACCGAAUUGCACUAAGUUUUUUCAAUAAAAUUUUCAAAAAGAUUUUUGUCUUAUUAUUAUUUAUAAAAGUUUUAAUCUGUAGUAUUUUUUUUAGAUGAAGUGGUAAUACACUGAAAUUAAACUCACAUAAAAUUAUGAGGUUUCGGGUUCGAAUCCGGAUCUUAUUAAUUGAAAAUAAAAAUAAAAAUGUGGAAACAUAUUUCAGUCGAUAAGGUCAAUGUAUGGUAAAUCGUAACAUAUAAUGGUUGGGUUCUAAUUUCUACACUUCACUUAUAUACGUCGAGUUCUUUUUUUUUUUUUUAAGAAAUCAAAAUGAAAUAUAUUAACAAUGGCCGUGUAACACUCCUAGGUACAAGAUGUACCAAAGAAGCCACCCCGAGAUCAAACAGUCAUACAAAAAUUAUCAAUAGUCAGUCGAUACCCAAACAUUAUAAAAGAUCUGACCACCAAUUAUGAGAGCCAUACACAAACAUAAUAUUAUGAGCCUUUAGCCACCAUAAAAAAUGAUAUUUUACCUUUUCUAAUAAGUAAUCAAUAGAUGUUUCUGUAUUAUAUACAUUGAGUUCUAAUCGCAAAUCUAUUUGAUAAUUAAAAAAUAAAAACUGAUUAUUAAAACAAGGAUUUCCUUAAAAAAAAAAAAAAAAAGGUCUCGUUAACGAACGUUUUCGAGAUACUUUUAAAAAUUUUAAAUUAUCUUUAAAAAAAAAAAAUUAAGAAAUUAUUUCUUUAACAAGUAAAAUGCAUUAAUUUUUAUUGAGUUAAAUACACAAAUUUUUAUAAAAAGUUACAAUUAAAGUGCUUAAAAAUUGUUUAGGGUACUCGUUAGCAUUUAUUUAAAAGAAAUCAAUGACAUAAAUACAACUUUUUUUUUUAUCAAACGUUACAUGAGGAUAGUUUAAUCGGUAAGGUUUUUUCUCUUGAUAUUGUUUCUUUGUAUGUUGGUAGUAGUCUUUUAAGCACAUCUUGUGCUAAGAGAUUGCUAUUGUUUUUGGUAAUAUAAUUUCAUUUUGGUUUGUUCAAAAAAAAGUUUAAUCGAUAAGGAUAUUGAAAUAUGCAUGGACCAAUCAAGGGUUUGAACCUGAAUAAUAGUAGGUGAAAUUUUAGCUACUUUAUUACUUUGACAAAAAAAAAAAAAAAAAAAACUUCAGCCUUUUCAAUUAAUAUUUUACACUAGCAAUUAAUAUUUUUUUACUGAGCCCAUUAAAAUUAUUAUAUCUUAAAUAAGUAAUAAUAUAAAAACGUAUCCCUUACUCCUUAAUGUUAUUAGGUUUGCAACCACUAAACCCUAAUUAUUUCCCUCUAAAUCUAUUGUAUUAAAUGUUGUUAGUGAUAAUCCUAAAAAAUUUCCUCUAAAGCCAAAUAUUUGAAUUUCUAAAUAAAUCCCAAGAAUUGAGGGAAAAAAAUCUGAUGAUAGGAAUUAGAGAAAAAUUCUCCUUAUUUUCCUCCAAUUUUUAAAGUGUCAUCUUGAUACAAUGAACUGCAUUAAUUUUCAACUAUUGCCAUCUCACAUUGAAAACACAAAACUAAACUCUCCACUCAUCAUAUCUGUUUGUUUCCCACACAUAUGCACAUGUUACAACACAAAAUUAUUCUUCUUCUCUAUCAAUUGUUCUUUCUCUCUCAUUCUCACUUCUCCUCUCUCAAUCUCUUCUCUCUCAACAAAACUGUUUCUAUUCUCUUCUUCAUCUCCUUCAUAGAACAACAAUUAAAUAACGUUGGAUUCUUUAGAUUUGCAAGAGAAAACAAUCUAUCAGAUGAAGUUAUUUAUGAGUUUGAGUUGAUCAAGAGGAAACCUCAUGAUGUGUUACAAGUCACAGCUUCUCACACAGUAAAUUUAGGAUUUUUCUUCGUUCAUAACAGUUCCUUCUUAUUUAUAUGAUAGGUCCUUACUGAUACAGUUGUCAACAAGCUGAGAAUGAAACAGGAAUCAGACCUGGUUCACAAGAUUGGGAACCCGUCGUUCUCCGUAAGAAAGCCCACACCGCUGCUGCCAGAAAAGAUGACAAAGUUGUCAAUGCUGCUCGCGGUGCCGGUGCCGAUAUCAAAACCAUGAAGAAAAUGAUGUUGCGACAAACAAAGCUUCCUCUAGCAGCACUUCAUUGAACACUAAGAGGCUUGAUGAAUAUAUAGAGAAUUUAGUUAAUGAUCAGGUCCCAACUGAACUCAAGAAAGCUAUAAUGCAAACUAGGAUGGACAAGAAGCUUACUCAGGCACAACUUGCUCAAAUUAUCAGUGAGAAGCCUCAAGUGAUCCAGGAGUACGAGUCGGGGAAAGCCAUUCCAAAUCAGAUGAUAAUUGGCAAGUUGGAGAGAGUUCUUGGUGCCAAACUCCCUGGGAAGAAAUGAGACAGCUGAUUUGAUGGUUGUGUAUGUAGUUGGAUCUAUUUUACACUGUUGAAGCUAAUCUGACGGCUGUUAUGUAGUUGGGUUUAUAUAUUUCACUAUCCUUGGUUGUUUGCUUUUGCAUGUAUGUGUGCCUGAAGCUUUCACCUGUUCAAAACUUAAUGUUGCAGUGACGUAUUUCUUUUAUCAACCAAUUGAUGCUUCAAGUAUUUCUUUUAUUAAUGCAAUAUUAUCGUUUUACUUUGUGAUCCAUAUGAGAACUUUAUUUAAUCUUCCAGUUAUGUAUAUAUUGAUUUUGUGUUUUGCUGUAAACAAUUAAUCAUAGUGCAGAACCUAGCAAAACUUGGGGAUUAAUUUGCUGAUAUUGAAGCUAAUUUAAUCAAUCGUCUUGCUUAAAUGGAAUAAGAAUGAUGUAGUACUCUUCAAAAUAUCAUAAUUGACAAUAACAACGUGCAUACUAUCUAUGAGUUUCUAAUAAUCAUUAAAAAAACUGUUAAUUCAAUAAGGGUUAAUGGUGCUUUACCCCCUGUAAUAUAGGUCAUUUUUUGUUUCCCCCCUGUAAAAUAUUUUUUUUGAUUUACCCCCUGUAAAUUUUUUUUUUUUUUGAAUACCCCCUAAUAGGUCAUAAAAAAACAAAAAAAUUCUGCAAAAAAAAAAUAGUCGUUUUUUUAUGACCUAUUAGAGGGUAUUCCAAAAAAAAUAUAUUUUACAGGGAGUAAAUCAAAAAAAAUAUUUUAGAGGGGGAAAACAAAAAAUGACCUAUAUUACAGGGGGUAAAGCACCAUUAACCCAUUCAAUAAUUAACAUUUAAAUACAACCUCAUAUAUAUCUGGGUACUAGGUUGCAAGAUGGAGGCUGUCCGGUUUACAUGCAUAUGAUUUCAAUGAUAUACUUUUCAAAUCCGCAUCAUCAUUAUCACAUGUUGAGCGUAGUUAGUGGUGCUAAUAUGGAGCUGCAACUUGCGAUUAUGGAGAGGUACAAAAGAAAGUACAACUACUAUGGGCCACCAAACCAGUGUUUUCUUGCAGCAGUGGCACACAAAAAUGUUAUGACUCGAGACAGACCCUGCAUAAGAAUUCUAGCAAUAUGGUUUAAUGGAAGAAAAAAAUACAAGCUACUAAAAUGAACUGUAAUGUGGAUUAUUUGUUCAUAAUUUUAUUCUUAUGGGAAUGAUACGAGUUUGCUUACCUAAAAAAAAUCCAGUUUCUCAAAGUAGGAUGAAUCCCUAUUCUUCAUAUUUAAUACUUCUCUUACAUUCAUGAAAAAAUCUUACAUCAUUCAAAUAAAGUGUAUAGAAAAAAUUGAAUAUAUCUUUAACUUGAUGUAAAAUAGAAGUGUUUAUUUCAUUUGUUAUUUUUGUUGUUCUUUUUAGUUCUCACAAGCUUGAAGAAUAGGCUUUGGUAAAGAAAGGUCAUUACGAUUGAAACAAAUUUAAAGAAACAAAAAUCAUAUUUAUAUUAUGAGAGACCCGAUCAUAGAUAUCAUGUGUUAGUUGUAGAUUGGAUCAAUCUUUCUAAUGAAGAACAAGGAUGCCAUCUAUGAGUAGUUGUUUGGUGAGAUCCUAUUUUAAAGUGAAAAAUUGGAUAGCCUCUGCAGUUUUACCUUAAAUUUUAGUUAAUUUUUACCUCUGAAAAAUAUUUGAGUUUUAAUAUUGGAUGUUUGAAAAAUAUUUGAAUUUUUGGAUCAAAAUAUUUGAGUUUUAAUAUUGGAUCCUUUCAAGUUUUUAAAAAGGCAAUUUCCUUUUGGCAGUCUCAUUUGCGAUGACUAUCAACAAAAGUCAAGGACAGUCACUCAAACACGAUGGUGUAUACCUCCCAACUCCUGUCUUCUCACAUGGACAAUUACAUGUGGUUGUUUCCAAAGUUACAUCCAGAGAAUGGUUGAAGAUACUGAUAAUUGAUGAAGAUGGUGAAGAUACGGAUGAGACGUCUAACAUAGUAUACGAAGAAGUAUUUCAAAAUGUUUGAUAUGAAUUGAUCUAUUGUAUGUUGUUUUAAGAAACUCAAAUAAUUCUUAGUGUCCUAUGUAAUACCGUUGUGACAAAAUUUUCAAAGAACUACUCUACAUAUAGGAAAUUUAGUUAUCAUUCAAUUAUAUAUGAAAUCGUUUAGCUUAUAAGACCCAUGCGGCGCACGGGUCGACGUUCUAGUUAACGCUAGUUUUCAAUUGUUUAUUGAUAUGUAUUAACUAUUUAUUAUCUAAUAAAAUAUUAUGCUAGCAACAUUCUUUUUAACACUCUCUACUAGUCACUCUUUUAUUAGAUAAAUGUUAGAGAGUUCAUGAGGGGGAGGGGAAGGAGAUGGUUCUAGUAACUCAAAAUCAUAAUGAUUUUAUGGCUACUUAAUGUUGGCAUCUGUUUGGUUAUCUUUAUUUUUUAUUUUAUGGAUUGUUAUAAAGAUUUCUCUUUUCUUUCCUGGAAUAUUCGUGGUGCUUUAGGUAAAAGUUCUAGACGCCAUGUUCGUGAGAUUAUUAGAGGUUAUCAUCCCACCCUUUGUUUUACCUUUGAAACUCAUGGUGCUUUUCAAAAAGUGGAAAAAUUUUGGGAUUCUUUAGGAUAUCAUCCUUUAUUUUUUCAAGAGGCUAGAGGUCAUGCCGGAGGGAUUUGGAUUUUAUCUUGCACUAAUGAAUUUACCUUUACUCUUAUUCAUAAUAUGCAUCAAGCUAUCACCUUUUGCAUCUCUAAGGGAAUGGUUACUUGGUAUAUGCUUCUCCUACUUAAAAAACUUGAUAGAUGUCUAGCAGAUGUAGAUUGGCGGCUAGCUUUUCCUCAUUCUCUAGCUGAGUUGUUACCUACUCAUGACUCUGAUCAUAACCCUAUUUUGGUGAGUUGUAUGAAGGCAGCGAGUAGGAGGUCUAAGAUUCUUCAUUUUCAAGCAGCUUGGCUUCAUCAUCCAGACUAUAAACCUUUAGUUCAAUCUACUUGGAGUAACGUUGUUGGUAAUGUGAUCUCUAAGCUUCAAGCGGUCCAAAAGUCUUCAGAAAGAUUUAAUUCUGAUAUCUUUGGUAACAUUUUUAAAAAUAAAAGACAAUUGGAGGUUAGGAUUAAAGGAGUGCAUCAACAACUUGAUUAUUGUCAGUCUUCUGAUCUUAUCAAUUUUAAAAGACAUUUGAAAAAUGAGUAUAACAAGUCUUGGCUCAAGAGGAUAUGUUGUGGUAUCAAAAGUCGAGAGAGAAUUGGGUUAAAUUUGGAAAUAAGAAUACAAAAAUAUUUCAUGUCCAAAUCGUCAUUCGCCGAAGGAGAAAUAAGGUGGUUGGCUUGAAUAUUGAUGGUAUUUGGUGCACUAAUGAAGAUUCUUUAAGAAGGGAAGCUUUAUCUUACUUUAGGAGUUUAUUUCAAGAGGGAGGAUCAACCAGUCCUGCAAGCCUCCACUUUUCUCACUUUCCUCAUAUUAGUAUUGAUCUUUACGACUCUCUUUGCCUGAACCCAAGUCUUGAAGAGGUCAAGUCUGCUCUUUUCUCAAUGAAUUCUUAUAAGGCUCCUGGUCCAGAUGGGUUCCAACCUAUUUUCUUCAAAACAUUUUGGAAUAUCGUUUCCUCAGAAGUUCAUAACUUGGUUUCCACUGCUUUUCAAUCAGGUACCAUCGAUCCAAAAUUGACUGAGACUAUUAUUGUUCCUAUUCCUAAAAUUGAUGAUCCUAUGUCUUUGAAAGAUUUUAGGCCUAUUAGCCUUUGCAAUGUUAUGCUUAAAAUUAUUUCUAAGGUGCUAGUGGGGAGGAUUAGACCUCAUUUAAAUAGUCUUAUCAGCCCUUUUCAAAGUAGUUUUAUUCCUAAACGAGGCACGACUGAUAAUGUUAUUAUCGCACACGAAAUAGUUCAUAGCAUAAAUAAAAAGAAAGGGAAAAAAGGUUAUCUUUUGUUCAAAAUUGACUUUGAAAAAGCUUAUUAUGAACUGUAUAACCUCUUCUACUUUAUCUUUGAAGUGGAACAACGAAAAACUAGAGAGUUUUAUUCCUCAAAGAGGCUUAAGGCAAGGGGAUCCUAUCUCUCCUUAUCUUUUUUUCCUUUGCAUGGAAAAACUUUCUAUGUUAAUUCAGGAGAAGGUUCAAUCUAAUGAAUAGCAUCCGAUCAAAAUCUCCAAUAAUGGUCCAACUAUCUCUCAUUUAUUUUUUUGUAGAUGACUGUCUUUUGUUUACUCAAGCUAGAAUAGUGAAAGAGGUGUGAGAGUUUUUGUCAUGCUUCUGGGUUGAAAGUUAAUAUUCAGAAAUCUAGAUUCAUGUCUUCUGCUAAUAUCUCCAGAGACAAAGUGAAUAAAUUUUCUUCUAUCGUUCAUUUUACUCAUUAUACUCAAUUAGGCAAGUACCUUGGUUUCCCUAUGUUAUCCGGUAGGAUAAAAAAUACUGACUUUACUUAUAUCAAUGGAUCAAGUCAAUAGAAGAUUGGAUGGUUGGAAGACAAAACUCCUUAGCCGAGCAGGGAGGGUGACAUAGGCCCAAUCUGUGGUCUCUGCUCUUCCUACCUACUCUAUGCAGAAUUCAUGGAUUGUUGAAGGGGUGUGUAACCAAAUAGAUGCUUCUAUUAGACAAUUUAUUUGGGGAAGGAAGCAUAGUCAUUGGGUGAAUUGGAAGAUGAUUACACAACCUAAGUCUAGAGGGGGUCUUGGAAUUCGGAAAGCUUGUGCUUCAAAUAUAUCUAUUCUAGGCAAACAUGUUUGGGAGUUGAUCCAUAAUCCUGAUAAGCUUUAGGUCAACCUUCCUUCUUCUAAAUAUCUUCAUGGCAUCUCUGUUUUAGAGGUGACAAAUUAUCAGGGUUCUUCUUGUGUUUGGAAGGCUAUUACCAAGACAGUUGAAGUUUUGAAAUCCGGUUUCAAGACUAGAAUUGGAAGAGGAGAGGUUUCUCUUUUGUAUGACAAAUGGUUAGAGGAUGAUUAUCUUUGUAAUCUUGUACCUUAUGUCCACAUUAGUAAAACUAAUUUGAGACUGAGGGACAUUUACCAGCACGGCCGCUGGAAUUUCUCUCAUCUCACAACUCAGGUACCUCUCAAUAUUCAACUCCAAAUUCAAAGUAUCUUCAUCGACGAGUCUUCCCAAGACAUCAAGAUUUGGACUCAUUCCCCAAUAGUUAUGUACUCUGUUAAGAUUGGUUAUCAUUGGUUGACUUCAAACUCUCUUUCUUUUGCAGAUCAGACUCAGCCGAAAACAUGGCAAUGGAUUUGGAAGCUCCACCUCCCAGAGAAUCUGAAGCAUUUUAUUUGGUUGGCUAUGCAUGGUAACCUUCCAACGAAUGCAUUUCGGGCUGAUAGACAUUUAACCUCAGAUUCAUCAUGCAAGAGAUGUGGAGCAGUGGCGGAGCCCUUCAUGGGAAAAAUUAAAAAAUUAAUGAUUAUAGGUCUAUUUUGCGAGAUUUUAUGCAAUUUUGUGUCAGUUUUAUGUUUUGGUUGAUCCAAAUUCCUGCAAAGUGAUGUAGUGGCCCACCCGAAAAUUUAAAUAAUUCAAUUAUAGGUCUAUUUUGCGAGAUUUUAUACAAUUUUAUGUCGGUUUUAGGUUUCGGUUGAUCCAAAUUCCCACAAAUUGGUGUAGUGGCCCACCCGAAAAUUUAAAUAAUUCAAUUAUAGGUCUAAUUUGCGAGACUUUAAACAAUUUUUUAAUAGUUAAUUUUAGUGGCCCACCCUGACAUUUUUUUCUGGCUCUGCCACUGAUGUGGAGCUAGUAUUGAGUCACUACUUCUUCACACUUUUAGAGAUUGCCCUCUCUCUUUGGCGAUCUGCGAUGCCUUGUUUUUCAACAAAGAUACAAAUUUCAAUUCUCAGGAUUUCAAUUGGUGGUUCAAACAUUAUGCCCUUGCUCCUAAUGGUAAUAUCUUCGUUAUUACAUGUUAGGUCUUAUGGAAAGCACGAAAUCAUAAGGUUUUCAAUGGAAAUGAUUGGGUAAAUUGGGUUUGUCUUAGCCAUAUUUAUUCUCUUCAUUCAGAUGUGGUGGCGCACCUUUCUAAUGAUGUCAUUCAGAAGCCCAUUAGACAGGUUAAAUGGAUUCCUCAUUUGGAUAAUAUUAUCAAAGUUAAUGUUGACGGUAGUUCUCUUUCUAAUCCUGAAAGAUCAGGUUUUGGAGGUCUUAUUAGAAACAAUAAUGGUGAUUGGUUGCUGGGUUUUUUUGGAUUUUGUGGUAUUACUUCUUGCUUGGCGGCCGAAUUGUAUGUCAUUUUUCAUGGCCUUCGUAUUGCGUAUGGUGCGGGCUACAUGAACAUUAUUCUUGAGUCAGAUUCUAGGAUGGCUCUUGAUUUAAUCAUGUCGGAUGUCCAAUCUCAUCAUCCUCAUGCUCCUCUGAUUAGUCAGAUUGUCCAACUGCAACAUCGAGAUUGGAUUGUUAAUUUUCAUCAUACCCUCCGUCAAGGCAACGAGUGUGCGGAUUGACUUGCUAAGCAUGGUGCUUCUUCUUCGGAUGCUCUAAAGUAUUGGAUUGUUUGCCCUCCUCAACUGCAUCAUUUCCUUCUGAAUGAUGCUCUUGGAGUUGCUCGCUUAAGAUUGUAAUUUGGUUUUGUUUUUUAUCGUUUCUUCUUGAUCAAAAAAAAAAAAGGUAAAUGUUAGAGAGUGUAAAUAUUGAAAAGAGUGUUAAAAAGAGAAUCUUCAUAUCAUUCUUUGUGCUAUAAGUUUCUUUCCCAACAAAACAUCAACACGUAACAAACAUAAAAAAGAGUAAAAAAAACAAAUUUUGGCACAAUAGACAUCAUGUAUGAACAAAAAAAAUUGGCACAUCAAUCAUCAUCUCUAAACAAAACAAUUUAAUUAUAACUUUUGGAGAAAUCAAUCUGUUCUAUUUACUAAUUUGAGCAUGACAACACAAAACAUCUCAUUUUGGAAGCGCAAUAAAAACAAUACUCUUUGGAACGUAAUCAUAGUCUAAAAAUAUAAGCCCUAAUCAUAUUUUUAUCUCACUCUUUUUUUUUAGGGAAAUAUCUCACUAUUUUAUCACAUUCACGAAGAUAGUUUUUUUAAGUGACACACUCUUUGCAAUUUUGGUUACAAUCCCAAUUUUUGGCCAAAAAUGUGGUGGUUGUGACAAGUUUUUAAGUGACAUGACAUUAAGCAUGAGGAUUUGGCAAAAAUAAAGUAUGAAAAGAAGUUCUGAAUCCUAAUUUCUAAAUCUCUUGAGUAUGAGAAUUUUAAACAAAGAAGAAUCAAGGACGAAGAGAGUAACAGAAGGAUAAAUGCAUUUUUGAAGGACCAAAAAAAUUGUCACAUCACCACUUUUGGGACAAAAAGUCUAGGUUGAUACCAAAAAUUACAACAAGGGUGAUACUUUUUUUUGAAAGAACAAGGGUGAUACUUGAAGACCAAAAAGUUCGAAUUUAAAAAAUGAACUAUUUUCGUGAAUGAUAAAAUACGGAACCAAAAGUGCGAUGACCAAGCCAAAGUGUAUUUUGCAUUUCAUUUUGAAGUCGUGUUGUACUUACAGUUCAACUCUACUCAUAUGAUAACACACACAAUAAUACACAGCAGCUAGAAAAUGCAUUUUUACAUAAGUAGGAAAUUUUAUGUAUUAUUUAGAGUUACCAGGAGAAGAAAAAAAAAGAGAAAACAUGCAUCAUCAUAUAUAUAAUUUAUGCUUCUAAAAUUAGAGAAAAUGCACAAUAGUUGCAGUAUCUUUGUGAUAACUAUAAUUAGAAUUAGAGAAACCUGACAGCGAAGAACGAGACCAAUAAUUCAUAAAGGAAAAAUAUUAAUUCCACAUUCCAUUACAAUUGAAAGCUAGUGAUAUAGGGAUUAGGGAUGUCAAUGGGGCGGAUCGGGGGCGAGGGGAUACUUCCUCGAUCCCCACCCCACCGGUGAAUCUGUUUCCCGUCCCCGUCCCGGGGGAAUAUUUUCCCAUCCCCGCGGAUCCCAACGUUUUUAUUUUCCUUCCAAAUUAAAGCACUGUACAGUUCCUUUCUUGGUCAAGAUAAUGAAAAAUAGCUAAACACAUACAAACAUGCAUACAUACUCCAUGCUAAACGGAUCUAAUAAAAUAUCAAAAGAAAACAAAGAGAAUUAAUAGAAAAAGUUGCAUUACUUAAUACAGUCACAUUACUAGUAGCAAAAGAGAAUUAAGUCAUAAUCUAGUAGCAAAACCACAAAAGUGGACAAGUCACAUUACUUAAUAUAAGUUACAUUUAAAUUCAAAAUAGGAAGGCAUUCAUUCACAACAAAAAAUCAUGUCUCUGCUUCCAACUUUUCCUUAUAAGAUCUUCUCCUCCAUCACCCUUCCACAAUUAUGUUUGACUCAUUUCCUACAACAAGUAAACAUAUAGUCAUAUCUUUUUCUGUCAUAAGCAUAACUACUUCACAAAAAUACUUUAAAAACAUGAAAGUAGUCAACAAUAAUAAUAUACCUCAUCAUCAUCAAUAUCCUCAUCAACACAUUCAAAAGAAGCCAUUAUCUUUGAAUAACCUAAGAAAAAAAUAGCUAAAUUAUAAGUAUGGUUAUAAAAGUAAAAAUGAUAAAAAAGAAGAAGAUGAAUUUAACAUUAAAUAUACUACCUUGCAUUUCUGUUCGGAACCAAUUUUGGCUGCACAUCAAAGCCUCUAAUGGUUGAAAAAGCCUCUAAUUUUCUUCAACCUACUGCAUUCUGGAGUUAUAACGUUAUAUUCACAUGUGAAAAAGCCGUCCGCUCCUACCCAAUUCAGUCCCUGACAAAAAGUAAUACCCAAGUUAGUGCUGAUAUUUUUAGAAGAGGCCCAAUUUAGUCCGUGACUCAUUGCAACAAAGGGACUAGUUUCUCACUUGCAUGAAAAUGUCAGGAACAGCAUAUUGUCAUAUAUACAUCUUAUCAUAUAAUUGCAUUCACUUAUCUAGAAGAUGGAUAAAUGAAGAGCUUGUGAAGAUACUUAUUUACAAAGAACAUAUUAGUUAGAAAAUCUCAGUCAGUUAAAUUACAUUUCUAUUUUUCUUGUUCUGUAACUAGUUGGAAAGUUUAUUCUGGUCUAACAACUGAAAAGUUUAUUCUGGUCUAACAACUAAAUUAAUCAUAAUAAAACUAUAUCAUAGUCACGUUUGGAAAGUAGAAACCUUUUGAUGCAAGAUAACUUACAUCGUAACGAGGUCGGAUCCACUCUGGAGGUGGCCAGAACAAGUUGGAAUAUUCAGGAUAAUCGGACAAAAGCGAAUGCCGACCUAGAUCCAAGUCCAAAACAUAUUCCUUACAUUCAGAUUCAAGUGGCCUAUGUGAUUCAAAGAUAUAAUUAUUAAAGAUGACAGAAUUCCCUUUGGCAACACACAAAUCUGAAGCACAAGCAGAAAACGAACAUACCAACCCCAACCCCAAGAACAAAACCCUAUCUCCUAAACUCGUCAACUUCACCCACUUCUUCUCCUUCUCAUUAAGCUUAAACAAAUCAAUCCUUACACAAUCAUUAUGAUCGGGAUUACAAAGAUCAGUAAAAAGACAAUUAUAAACAUCCGCUAACAACAAAUCCCCCUCGCUCUCCACUAAGAAUUUCAUGUCCCCGCCGCCAAUCAAAGGUUCAGCCACUAAUUGGACACUUGAAUCCGGUCCAACCACAACCGUCUUACCAAUUUUGUCGACUGCGUAAGAUUGCCCUUUAAAGAGGCAGAUGUCUCCGAAUUUCGUUGACAUGUCAGGUAUCACAUUCCAUUUCUCAUCACCACAUUUCAUAAGUAACGGCUGUGGGGGAGAGGUUAAUGUGCCAACAAUGAGAGGUUUUUUCCCAUGGCACGU